CGGGACGUGGCUCAGUUUGGCAGAGCACUGCGUUCGGGACGCAGGGGUCGCAGGUUCAAAUCCUGCCGUCCCGACCA
Molecule: transfer RNA, 77 nt
Filed under: Thermosulfuriphilus ammonigenes
Lineage: Bacteria; Pseudomonadati; Thermodesulfobacteriota; Thermodesulfobacteria; Thermodesulfobacteriales; Thermodesulfobacteriaceae
Description: tRNA-Pro
Rfam family: tRNA
About the family: Transfer RNA (tRNA) molecules are approximately 80 nucleotides in length. Their secondary structure includes four short double-helical elements and three loops (D, anti-codon, and T loops). Further hydrogen bonds mediate the characteristic L-shaped molecular structure. tRNAs have two regions of fundamental functional importance: the anti-codon, which is responsible for specific mRNA codon recognition, and the 3' end, to which the tRNAs corresponding amino acid is attached (by aminoacyl-tRNA synthetases). tRNAs cope with the degeneracy of the genetic code in two manners: having more than one tRNA (with a specific anti-codon) for a particular amino acid; and 'wobble' base-pairing, i.e. permitting non-standard base-pairing at the 3rd anti-codon position.
Source: RNAcentral